GACGAACGCUGGCGGCGUGCUUAACACAUGCAAGUCGAACGGAAAGGCCCUGCUUUUGUGGGGUGCUCGAGUGGCGAACGGGUGAGUAACACGUGAGUAACCUGCCCUUUACUUUGGGAUAACUUCAGGAAACUGGGGCUAAUACCGGAUAGGAGCUCCUGCUGCAUGGUGGGGGUUGGAAAGUUUCGGCGGUUGGGGCUGGACUCGCGGCUUAUCAGCUUGUUGGUGGGGUAGUGGCUUACCAAGGCUUUGACGGGUAGCCGGCCUGAGAGGGUGACCGGCCACAUUGGGACUGAGAUACGGCCCAGACUCCUACGGGAGGCAGCAGUGGGGAAUAUUGCACAAUGGGCGGAAGCCUGAUGCAGCAACGCCGCGUGCGGGAUGACGGCCUUCGGGUUGUAAACCGCUUUCGCCUGUGACGAAGCGUGAGUGACGGUAAUGGGUAAAGAAGCACCGGCUAACUACGUG
This 468-nucleotide ribosomal RNA is filed under the name uncultured bacterium. Its description in RNAcentral is "partial 16S ribosomal RNA". It matches the Rfam family "Bacterial small subunit ribosomal RNA", at positions 28 to 507 of the family's 1533-position model. The record is from RNAcentral.